UAAAGAGACUGGACAGAGUUUGAUUAUGAAUAAAAUGAAUGACUGUCCAUUGCCGAACAAUGCAGGACCUUCAAGCUUCACCAUCAACCCUUUGUGUCUCAUGUUGUGGUGUUCACUUUCUGUAAAACCAAUAACUGGACUGCUAAAGACACUUACAAGUGUGCAUCAUGGCUGUCUGGAUGAAGACCAAGCAAAUGUUUGAGGCAGAUUUGUUGAUGGAAUCUGAGAUCUGCUGCUAAGGCUGGACUGACCGUAUGGACGUCAGAGAUCAGAUGUGAUUUAGGCCUGUGAUGGCCCAUGCCAGGCCAGUUGUGAUCGGCGAUACACCCUGCCUGUGCGGUUUUGGUUUCACUAGAACAAGAGUUUAGGUCUCCUGUGUUCCAGUCUGGGUCCUCAGCUCUUUCUCUGAGUGACAGGCAGGUACAGAACGAAUCUGACAAACUUUUUCAUAUUUUAUGCACUGAUUUUAGGGGUCCUGCAUUCUGCAUACUCAUUGGUUGCUGCUUUAUCAA
Cyprinus carpio (common carp) is the source of this 512-nucleotide long non-coding RNA. RefSeq lists it as uncharacterized. The record is from RefSeq and is a predicted model, not a curated record. The transcript has 4 exons. NCBI's taxonomy places the organism in Eukaryota, Metazoa, Chordata, Actinopteri, Cypriniformes, Cyprinidae.